CGCAUAUAAGAUGACUGAGUUGGAGAGGCAACUUAACCAUUUUUUUUUCAUGAAUCUCGUGAAAAUCAAUUUGUGUCUCAUAUUUCAGUUCAUUACGUAGGUCUCAUACAUAGAUCACAAGGAUGAUAACAACAAAGAUAUCAUUUUGUCAUUAUCCAAAGAUUCUUAAUGAUGAUUCCGCGUAUGCCGCAUAUUUUUUAAUUACCAUGGUAUCUAAAAGGGAGUGUUAUAUCUUCGGGUUCGUCCAAACUGUAAAUAUUAAAAAUGUUAGUAGAGUUUGGUUAAAUGGUGUUGUAAUUUUAAAAUGUGAUGUCAAUUUGCAUUAUGUUUUUCAAUUUGUCCAAUGGUUGUUCUAAUCUAUCUACAUCGUUGUUAAACUAUUGUUAUUGAAUUAUGAGUGGU
Molecule: long non-coding RNA, 402 nt
Filed under: Medicago truncatula (barrel medic)
Lineage: Eukaryota; Viridiplantae; Streptophyta; Magnoliopsida; Fabales; Fabaceae
Description: long non-coding RNA (MTRU_LNC001374)
Source: RNAcentral